GCCGUUUCCAGGCGUGGAGGGGGCCUGACGCCAGCCUUGGUCACGUUCAACUGACAGCUGUGGUUUGAACUCUUUGAUGUGCAGAGACACGGCUUGAAGGCAGUGCACUAAUGCCACGUAUGGUCGGGGUCUGGCUUCCUGUAGAUCAGAUUCGGGUGUGACUUUGGCAGGCCUGCUCAGGCGGGACACACGUCCUUCGGGAGGCAGAGUGGACCCAGUGGCACAGAAGCAGCCGAACACCUGCUGGGUCAGGGUGUCUUCAGAGACCCCAGGGUGAUUUAAGCUGGAGCAUCAGACCCUCCCCCGCUACUUUGUGUGCACACCCAGACAAGAGAGGGAGCAGAGUGGGACACCCUUCUGGGCAGAGACCACCCUUCGCAGACCCGGACUCAGUGAA
Molecule: long non-coding RNA, 397 nt
Organism: Lemur catta (Ring-tailed lemur)
Lineage: Eukaryota; Metazoa; Chordata; Mammalia; Primates; Lemuridae
Exons: 3
Source: RefSeq, a predicted model, not a curated record